Molecule: long non-coding RNA, 627 nt
Organism: Carassius auratus (goldfish)
Lineage: Eukaryota; Metazoa; Chordata; Actinopteri; Cypriniformes; Cyprinidae
Exons: 3
Source: RefSeq, a predicted model, not a curated record
AGUGCUGUGAACAUGACCUGACCUGUACGCUGCUGCCUUUAUUGGAGUUGAAACCUCAUCACCUGGACUGGAUCCAGCUGCAAACUCAGAGGUGGAAGUGUAUGUGUUUGUUAUGGAUCUGCUGUUUUCAGGUUUUGAGUUGGUCUUCAUCAUCAUUGCAUUUACUAUCAUGUGCUUAUUUGGCCUGGCUGCUAUCUGCACACACAAUACAGAUCAUCAAGAUGACUACAUUCAAACAGAACAGAAGAUGAUGCGACAAAAGAACACCUCAAAGAAAAAACAGAGAGUCAUCACCAAAACCAAUCAAGAGCUUCCAUGAACACAAACAAACACAUUCCACACAAAUACAGUUUCCUUCCACUGGUGCUCAACGGAUAGAUAGGACUGGCUCACCAAAUGCAGAUAACCAGCGGACAAACUGAAGAUUUCUGACACUGCUGUCGACUUCAUAUAUCCUUUGAGCCUCAAGCCAGCUGAUUGGCUUGAAUGUAUGACCCCAAUAAGUAAUUAAACAGUAAAGAAAGAUAAAGACGAUUUAUUGAAAUCAAAUCCCCUCCACUUUCUUUACCUAAAUCUGCUUAUCACAUGUAAUACAAUGAUUUAAACCCUGUCUGGAGGAGCCGUCUU